AAGAAACUUCUGUUUUCAUUUCGACCAUUUAGAGUAAAGAAAACUGUGCAACUUCUUUCUUUAAGGUAACUUCUGGAAUGAGCCCUGCAUUUAAUCGAUAUGGAUGUACUUUAAUCGGUAACCUUUCAGCUUUAUCUUAACAACUCAUUGUGCGAAAAUGAUUACUCUGGAGUUCAAUUCUUUCAUAUAAUGCAGUGCUUGCGGAAUGGAAGCCUCCGGUGUAUGACAAUGAUGGUGGAAUUGUGCUGGUGACCGCAACCACACGCCGCAACUCGCCUAAUGUAUGAAUUUGGUUCCACGUUUCUGUUCAUGAUAUAACAUAAAUAAAAUAAAAUAAAAACUUGUUUGUAAAAUAUUGUUGAUUUCUGAAAUUCUUUUUGGUUUGUCAGAAUUUGGAUUCCAAGAUUCAUCACAACAACCUUCUCAAUAACAUACUAGCAAAGGUACUGUCUUCAAAACAAGAAAGUUCAAGAAUUGACGCUGUGAGAUUAAUUUUUCUUUGCAAUGGAACAAUCAGAUUGAAAGUAACAACACGAAUGCCGCUGAUGCCAUUAUGCUUGACAAGGAUGGUUAUGUGUCUGAAACCAAUGCAACCAACAUUGUAAGUAAUCCUUUGAUGAUUCCUCAGCAUGCUUUUCUAUCAAAUUUCAGUAGAUUUUUAAGAGACUAUAGAAAGCUAAUAUUGUCAACAAAAAUUUACUUUGUUCUACAGUUCAUGGUGAAGAAAGGCUGUGUACUUACUCCUCACGCAGAUUACUGUCUCCCUGGCAUAACCAGAGCUACCGUAAGAGAGAGACAUUCACUUUCGUUUUGUUAAGAAUUUUAUAUAAACCAUUCUUUUCUAUUAUCUUCCUUUCAAGGUCAUGGAACUUGUGGUGAAAGAGAACUUCAUCUUAGAAGAAAGAAGAAUCAGUCUCUCCGAAUUCCAUACAGCCGAUGAGGUUCUUUCAGCUUACAAAUUAUCAGUUUUUGGGGGUCAAAUUGAAUUAUAUGUGCCUCUCUCUCUUUCUCUAGAUAAUCUAACAAUGGUUUUGUUUUUUCAGGUAUGGACAACUGGAACUAUGGGGGAACUAAGCCCGGUAUGUACAGUCUCUAGUAGCUUACGAAUAAAACAUGCUCAAUCGUUCUGCACCUGAAUCUAUGACAUUCAUUAAUUAAAACUUUGAAUAGAUGCAAGUCAUAUCUAAAGUUCUUGAUGAAAUCUUCAGGGGAUCUUACUUGAACCAUAUGAAAAAAUAUCCUGUUCUUUUGUUACAGGUUGUGAAAAUCGAUGGACGUGUGAUUGGUGACGGCAAAGUUGGACCGGUAACGAGAACACUGCAAAACGCUUACAAGAAACUGACAGAGGAUUCAGGUGUGCCAAUACCUACUUACCAAGAACCCUGAAAUACAAAACAAGAGGUAAUCAAAGUUGCUGAAUAGUCGUCUAUCUGAGAUAGUAUAUCAAAAAUUUUGGUUAUGAUUUAAUAAUAGCUUAGCAAAUGCAAGAGUAGAUUAAAAACCAUUUUAACUUUCACAUGAUUCAAGUGGGUCUUUAUACCGUUUAUUUAGGUUUUGAAACAGAGCCACGAGGGAACUUAAUAAUAAAAAGCAAUCAACUCUCACAUGAUUCAAUUGGUUUUGAGGAAAAAACAUGAAGCUUUUGCGUCAUCUUAAUUAAUAGAUUUCCUUUCAUGUAAGUAAAGAAGCUUUC
This 1693-nucleotide long non-coding RNA is filed under the name Arabidopsis lyrata. Its description in RNAcentral is "long non-coding RNA (ALYR_LNC002238)". The record is from RNAcentral. Lineage: Eukaryota; Viridiplantae; Streptophyta; Magnoliopsida; Brassicales; Brassicaceae.